Molecule: ribosomal RNA, 488 nt
Filed under: uncultured bacterium
Lineage: Bacteria
Description: partial 16S ribosomal RNA
Rfam family: Bacterial small subunit ribosomal RNA
Source: RNAcentral
GACGAACGCUGGCGGCGUGCUUAACACAUGCAAGUCGAACGCGCCUGUCCUCUGGGUUUCUGGGGGGUGGGUGAGUGGCGAACGGGUGAGUAACACGUGAGUAACCUGCCCCCUUCUUCGGGAUAACGGUCUGAAAGGGCUGCUAAUACCGGGUAUUCACUGGUCUCCGCAUGGGGUCUGGUGGAAAGGUUUUUUUCUGGUGGGGGAUGGGCUCGCGGCCUAUCAGCUUGUUGGUGGGGUGAUGGCCCACCAAGGCUUUGACGGGUAGCCGGCCUGAGAGGGUGACCGGUCACAUUGGGACUGAGAUACGGCCCAGACUCCUACGGGAGGCAGCAGUGGGGAAUAUUGCGCGAUGGGCGCAAGCCUGAUGCAGCGACGCCGCGUGAGGGAUGGAGGCCUUCGGGUUGUGAACCUCUUUCGCCCGUGGUCAAGCCGCGACGUGGGUCGUGGUGAGGGUAGUGGGUAAAGAAGCGCCGGCUAACUACGUG